Molecule: ribosomal RNA, 478 nt
Filed under: uncultured bacterium
Lineage: Bacteria
Description: bacterial SSU rRNA
Rfam family: Bacterial small subunit ribosomal RNA
Source: RNAcentral
UCAGUCGACUCCUACGGGGAGGCAGCAGUGGGGGAAUAUUGCACAAUGGGCGCAAGCCUGAUGCAGCCAUGCCGCGUGUGUGAAGAAGGACCUUCGGGUUGUAAAGCACUUUCAGUCGUGAGGAAGGUAGUGUAGUUAAUAGCUGCAUUAUUUGACGUUAGCGACAGAAGAAGCACCGGCUAACUCCGUGCCAGCAGCCGCGGUAAUACGGAGGGUGCGAGCGUUAAUCGGAAUUACUGGGCGUAAAGCGCAUGCAGGUGGUUUGUUAAGUCAGAUGUGAAAGACCCGGGGCUCAACCUCGGAAUUGCAUUUGAAACUGGCAGACUAGAGUACUGUAGAGGGGGGUAGGAAUUUCAGGUGUAGCGGUGAAAUGCGUAGAGAUCUGAAGGAAUACCGGUGGCGAAGGCGGCCCCCUGGACAGAUACUGACACUCAGAUGCGAAAGCGUGGGGAGCAAACAGGAUUAGAUACCCUGGUAG